CCUAAGAAGUACAGGAGGUCACUCUCCCGGGGCUCUGUUCUAGUGGCUUGUGGGAGCUUAGGGCAUCGCCCAGUGAUGUACAGUCCCUUUCCACAACAUUGGAGAUUAACCUGGGCUUCUGAGUCUGCGCCUGCAUAUUCCUAUGACUACUUAGCAUUCUGUGGACAAUGACUGAGGAGACAAACCAUGCAGGAAACAAGG
Molecule: non-coding RNA, 201 nt
Organism: Mus musculus (house mouse)
Lineage: Eukaryota; Metazoa; Chordata; Mammalia; Rodentia; Muridae
Source: Rfam